UACGUAGGUGGCAAGCGUUGUCCGGAAUUACUGGGCGUAAAGCGUGCGCAGGCGGUUUUGUAAGUCUGUCGUGAAAUCCCCGGGCUCAACCUGGGAAUUGCGAUGGAGACUGCAAGGCUAGAAUCUGGCAGAGGGGGGUAGAAUUCCACGUGUAGCAGUGAAAUGCGUAGAGAUGUGGAGGAACACCGAUGGCGAAGGCAGCCCCCUGGGUCAAGAUUGACGCUCAUGCACGAAAGCGUGGGGAGCAAACAGG
RNAcentral lists this ribosomal RNA (253 nucleotides) under uncultured bacterium. Its description in RNAcentral is "partial 16S ribosomal RNA". It matches the Rfam family "Bacterial small subunit ribosomal RNA", at positions 524 to 776 of the family's 1533-position model. The record is from RNAcentral.